Molecule: long non-coding RNA, 1791 nt
Organism: Leopardus geoffroyi (Geoffroy's cat)
Lineage: Eukaryota; Metazoa; Chordata; Mammalia; Carnivora; Felidae
Exons: 2
Source: RefSeq, a predicted model, not a curated record
UCUUUCUCUCCUCCCUCUCUUUCUUUCUUUCUUUCUUUCUUUCACAAAGUCUUCAGAGACUGGAUGAGUUGGUGGAGGGUAUGUUCUCCUCAAUACAAUAGACCAGAAGCAUCAAAGAACAUCCACAGAUCUAUUGAGAUGUACAUUUGUUAUUUGUACACUCUUGCUGUGUGUUUUACAUUUCAAUAAACAAUAGAAAGAAAACUUGGCUUGGGGAGUUUAAAUCUGAUGGUUCGCCUCAACUCACCUGCCCAACAGAAGGGUAAAUGACCCAUGGGCAUUUCUAGUAGCUGUUUUCCUCUGGGCACCAACCUCAGGGUAGCUGGGUCUCUUGAGCGGAGGGUGCCAGCCACACAUGUGGUUUUGUCUGGUAAAGCAAAUGAUGAGGACUAGUUGAGUAUUCGGUGUUUGAAAACCGAUGGAAACCCGUUAAGAGAUCGGGACAAUAGUGUCGAAUGGAAAUACAGUUCGUCUGUUAGCUUAAUCCGGUGCCAUUUUAUAAUUUUAUAUGAGUCGCUUGCCUACUGGAACUGGAACAACAUUCUUGGCAAGUCGGUCAAUCAAGCGAUUGCAGAAGGUGGAUUCCUGUUGUUGGAGCCCAGGUGACACCCACCCUGUGGCUGCUCUCUCAGCCCACUAAAGAUCCAGGGUGCAAGAUGUGCAAGUUCAAGGGGUUGCCUUUUCUUUCCGUCCCAAGCUUCCCCCAAAGACUGAGAAAAGAAAGGAAGUCUUUUGACUCUCGUCUAACUACACGCACUGCUGUCUGAUGUAAACUAAAGCUCAAACGAGUCAUGGCCAAAAAAGUGUGGAAGCCGAGGCCACCAGCCCCUGAGUUCUAAGUGCUGACCCCGUAGCCCAGUAGUUUACCUGGGCUUCCCCGGAGCCGAGCAGAGCCGCGGCAGAGAGGAGCCCUCCGGCGUGGGACGGAGGGAACAGUUCUGUGCUUUUGUUGCUUUUCAAAUAAGAGUUUGACUUUUGAUAACUUGUGACCAUUGUCAAUGAGACUUUCCCUUAUGCUCUGGAGGAAAUGUUUUGUGGGUGUGCCUUCCAGACACCUGUCUGAAAGGCCCUUCUUGUUUUCUGAACAGGUCCUAGGUUAUUCUGUGCUGUGCUCAGAAUCCCCUCUCAUUUUUUAGUGACAUCAGAGCCUGUGAUUUGAGAUUAUCUUCCUUCCUGUUACUAUUUACUGGGAUUAAAAUGCAGGAAUGGAGACGGGAAAAAACAAAACGAAACAAACACAACAUAAAAGUGCUGACGCCCGAACAGGGACUUGAACCCUGGACCCUCAGAUUAAAAGUCUGAUGCUCUACCGACUGAGCUAUCCGGGCUCACAUGCUGAAGCCUUAACACAUCAACUAUAGUCAAUUUAUCUGCAAACUUGAAGGAGAAAACUCUUCUGGAAGUUUCACCGGUGAUUCCGGUUUAGAGGUAUUCAUUCACAAGAUGCUUGUUAAUACCCUAAUUAGCAUAGAAACUCAGUCACAAUGAAAGUCUUCUUUAAUACCCUGAUCUAACUAUAUUAUAUGAAUUAUAAUGUUGCCCCUUAUUAUAAUGUUUUCUUUCUCUCUAUAUACAUGGAUCAAUACUAGAUAUUAUACUGUAUAGAAUUCUGUGCAACUGGUCCUCAGUUUCUAGGCUUCCCAGAAAAAUAUCUCAAAUAUUCUACAUUUGGGCCCAAAUAGAGCACUUUCCAAAGGAAGCCAACAUGACACCAGCGCUUUAAGGGGCAAUUAAAUCACCUUUUAGGCGGCACUUUGGAUAUCUGAAUAUGGGUCGAGAGCCAGAGGAAGC